UACGUAGGCAGCGAGCGUUGUUCGGAAUUACUGGGCGUAAAGAGUGUGUAGGCGGUGUUCCCAGUCUGUUGUGAAAUCUCCCGGCUUAACUGGGAGGGUGCAGCGGAAACUAGAAUGCUGGAGGGUGGGAGAGGUAAGCGGAAUUCCUGGUGUAGCGGUGAAAUGCGUAGAUAUCAGGAGGAACACCUGUGGUGUAGACAGCUUACUGGACCACUUCUGACGCUGAGACACGAAAGCGUGGGUAGCAAACAGG
This 253-nucleotide ribosomal RNA is filed under the name uncultured bacterium. RNAcentral describes it as "partial 16S ribosomal RNA". It matches the Rfam family "Bacterial small subunit ribosomal RNA", at positions 524 to 776 of the family's 1533-position model. The record is from RNAcentral.